UCCAAGGUGGAUACCUGCCCUGUCCUGAUGU
Molecule: non-coding RNA, 31 nt
Filed under: Mus musculus (house mouse)
Lineage: Eukaryota; Metazoa; Chordata; Mammalia; Rodentia; Muridae
Source: RNAcentral